GACGAACGCUGGCGGCGUGCCUAAUACAUGCAAGUCGAGCGGACUUAAAAAGCUUGCUUUUUAAGUUAGCGGCGGACGGGUGAGUAACACGUGGGCAACCUGCCUGUAAGACUGGGAUAACUUCGGGAAACCGGAGCUAAUACCGGAUAAUCCUUUUCUCCUCAUGUAGAAAAGCUGAAAGACGGUUUACGCUGUCACUUACAGAUGGGCCCGCGGCGCAUUAGCUAGUUGGUGAGGUAACGGCUCACCAAGGCGACGAUGCGUAGCCGACCUGAGAGGGUGAUCGGCCACACGGGGACUGAGACACGGCCCAGACUCCUACGGGAGGCAGCAGUAGGGAAUCUUCCGCAAUGGACGAAAGUCUGACGGAGCAACGCCGCGUGAGUGAUGAAGGUUUUCGGAUCGUAAAACUCUGUUGUUAGGGAAGAACAAGUACGAGAGUAACUGCUCGUACCUUGACGGUACCUAACCAGAAAGCCACGGCUGACUACGUG
RNAcentral lists this ribosomal RNA (494 nucleotides) under uncultured bacterium. RNAcentral describes it as "partial 16S ribosomal RNA". It matches the Rfam family "Bacterial small subunit ribosomal RNA", at positions 28 to 507 of the family's 1533-position model. The record is from RNAcentral.